RNAcentral lists this ribosomal RNA (252 nucleotides) under uncultured bacterium. RNAcentral describes it as "partial 16S ribosomal RNA". It matches the Rfam family "Bacterial small subunit ribosomal RNA", at positions 524 to 774 of the family's 1533-position model. The record is from RNAcentral.
UACGUAGGUGGCAAGCGUUGUCCGGAUUUAUUGGGUUUAAAGGGUGCGUAGGCGGUUCUAUAAGUCAGUGGUGAAAUCCGGCAGCUCAACUGUCGAUGUGCCAUUGAUACUGCAGAACUUGAGUACAGACGAGGUAGGCGGAAUUGACGGUGUAGCGGUGAAAUGCUUAGAUAUCGUCAAGAACACCCGAUAGCGAAGGCAGCUUACUAGACUGUAACUGACGCUGAUGCACGAAAGUGUGGGGAUCGAAAC